This 301-nucleotide ribosomal RNA is filed under the name uncultured bacterium. RNAcentral's name for it is "partial 16S ribosomal RNA". It matches the Rfam family "Bacterial small subunit ribosomal RNA", at positions 509 to 809 of the family's 1533-position model. The record is from RNAcentral.
CAGUAGCCGCGGUAAUACGAAGGGUGCAAGCGUUACUCGGAAUUACUGGGCGUAAAGCGUGCGUAGGUGGUGGUUUAAGUCCGUCGUGAAAGCCCUGGGCUCAACCUGGGAAUUGCAGUGGAUACUGGGUCACUAGAGUGUGGUAGAGGAUAGUGGAAUUUCCGGUGUAGCAGUGAAAUGCGUAGAGAUCGGAAGGAACAUCUGUGGCGAAGGCGACUAUCUGGGCCAACACUGACACUGAGGCACGAAAGCGUGGGGAGCAAACAGGAUUAGAUACCCCUGUAGUCCCUGUCUCUUAUAA